GUCAGCGUCUGGGCGGACAGCUGCAGGAAAGGGAAGACCAAGGUUUGCUACUGUCCAAUCUGCCACCCUACCCUAUCUGUUCUCACCACAG
This is a microRNA precursor of Cercocebus atys (sooty mangabey), 91 nucleotides long. The record is from Ensembl. NCBI's taxonomy places the organism in Eukaryota, Metazoa, Chordata, Mammalia, Primates, Cercopithecidae.